GCGGUACUCUGACCGUGCAAAGGUAGCAUAAUCAUUUGCCUUAUAAUUGAAGGCUAGUAUGAAUGGUUUGACGAGAAUUAAGCUGUCUCUCUCCAAAUAAAUAUAACUUUAUUUAUAGGUGAAGAAGCCUAUAUUUAAUUGAAAGACAAGAAGACCCUAUCGAGCUUUAAAAGAUUUAAUAGAUUUAUCAUAUAUUUAUUAAAAAACUAAAACUAUUAAAAAUUUUGGUUGGGGCGACUAAGGAACAAACAAAGCUUCCUUUAUCUUUAAUAACACUUACAGGUAUUGAUCCAAUAAAUUUGAUUAAAGGAAUUAGUUACCGUAGGGAUAACAGCAUAAUCCCCUUUGAGAGCUCCCAUCGAAAAGGGGGUUUGUGACCUCGAUGUUGGACCAGAAUACCCAGAAGAUGUAGCCGUCUUCAAUGGUUGGUCUGUUCGACCAUUAAAAUUCU
RNAcentral lists this ribosomal RNA (451 nucleotides) under Rapana rapiformis. RNAcentral's name for it is "partial 16S ribosomal RNA". It matches the Rfam family "Bacterial large subunit ribosomal RNA", at positions 1933 to 2597 of the family's 2925-position model. Lineage: Eukaryota; Metazoa; Mollusca; Gastropoda; Neogastropoda; Muricidae. The record is from RNAcentral.